Molecule: ribosomal RNA, 343 nt
Filed under: Escherichia coli
Lineage: Bacteria; Pseudomonadati; Pseudomonadota; Gammaproteobacteria; Enterobacterales; Enterobacteriaceae
Description: bacterial SSU rRNA
Rfam family: Bacterial small subunit ribosomal RNA
Source: RNAcentral
GGAGGUUGUGCCCUUGAGGCGUGGCUUCCGGAGCUAACGCGUUAAGUCGACCGCCUGGGGAGUACGGCCGCAAGGUUAAAACUCAAAUGAAUUGACGGGGGCCCGCACAAGCGGUGGAGCAUGUGGUUUAAUUCGAUGCAACGCGAAGAACCUUACCUGGUCUUGACAUCCACGGAAGUUUUCAGAGAUGAGAAUGUGCCUUCGGGAACCGUGAGACAGGUGCUGCAUGGCUGUCGUCAGCUCGUGUUGUGAAAUGUUGGGUUAAGUCCCGCAACGAGCGCAACCCUUAUCCUUUGUUGCCAGCGGUCCGGCCGGGAACUCAAAGGAGACUGCCAGUGAUAAA